UUGCUAUCUGCAAUAUGAAGAUUCGAACGAACCUGCCGCAGGUUCGGGUCGAACGCAGUGAGACAACGGAGCCGUUUACGGCGACGGCCCGAAGGGCGAGCGAAGCGAGUCAUCCUGCACGACCCACCA
RNAcentral lists this small RNA (129 nucleotides) under Salmonella enterica subsp. enterica. RNAcentral's name for it is "RtT sRNA". It matches the Rfam family "RtT RNA". Rfam says of the family: This family represents a bacterial cis-regulatory element known as RtT RNA. Lineage: Bacteria; Pseudomonadati; Pseudomonadota; Gammaproteobacteria; Enterobacterales; Enterobacteriaceae. The record is from RNAcentral.